RNAcentral lists this ribosomal RNA (253 nucleotides) under uncultured bacterium. RNAcentral's name for it is "partial 16S ribosomal RNA". It matches the Rfam family "Bacterial small subunit ribosomal RNA", at positions 524 to 776 of the family's 1533-position model. The record is from RNAcentral.
UACGAAGGGGGCUAGCGUUGUUCGGAAUCACUGGGCGUAAAGGGCGCGUAGGCGGCUUUAUAAGUCGGGGGUGAAAGCCUGUGGCUCAACCACAGAAUUGCCUUCGAUACUGUAGAGCUUGAGACCGGAAGAGGUAAGUGGAACUGCGAGUGUAGAGGUGAAAUUCGUAGAUAUUCGCAAGAACACCAGUGGCGAGGGCGGCUUACUGGUCCGGUUCUGACGCUGAGGCGCGAAAGCGUGGGGAGCAAACAGG